GUUCCAGGGGAAUGUCUGUACAAGGGUCAGAGCUACGGGCAAGGCAAGACUUGGCGCGACGGCUGUAACUACCAAUGUACCUGCGUAGAUGCCACCGUGGGCACGUACAUCUGUAAAGACCUUGUAAGCUGCUGGCCCCUCCCACCGGCAAGUGCUGCCCCACACCAAGCUGCCCUAGCGGCAUAGUCAUCAACUACCCGCCAAGCUAUGUUGGCGUUUAACAGGCAAAAACCUGUGUAGCCAGGCAACAAAACAAUUCAGUGAAGUAAAAUACAAACACGUUUGCGAAAAUUGUAAGCAUUCGAAUUAGGAAAAUAAAAUAUUUCUAGUU
Long non-coding RNA from Haliotis rubra (blacklip abalone), 331 nucleotides. RefSeq lists it as uncharacterized. The record is from RefSeq and is a predicted model, not a curated record. The transcript has 2 exons. NCBI's taxonomy places the organism in Eukaryota, Metazoa, Mollusca, Gastropoda, Lepetellida, Haliotidae.